RNAcentral lists this ribosomal RNA (460 nucleotides) under uncultured bacterium. Its description in RNAcentral is "partial 16S ribosomal RNA". It matches the Rfam family "Bacterial small subunit ribosomal RNA", at positions 338 to 795 of the family's 1533-position model. The record is from RNAcentral.
CCUACGGGUGGCAGCAGUGAGGAAUAUUGGUCAAUGGACGAGAGUCUGAACCAGCCAAGUAGCGUGAAGGAUGACUGCCCUAUGGGUUGUAAACUUCUUUUAUCAAGGAAUAAAACGAGGCACGUGUGCCUUUUUGCAUGUACUUUAUGAAUAAGGCUCGGCUAACUCCGUGCCAGCAGCCGCGGUAAUACGGAGGAUCCGAGCGUUUUCCGGAUUUAUUGGGUUUAAAGGGAGCGUAGAUGGGUUGUUAAGUCAGUUGUGAAAGUUUGCGGCUCAACCGUAAGAUUGCAAUUGAUACUGGCAGUCUUGAGUACAGUUGAGGUAGGCGGAAUGCGUGGUGUAGCGGUGAAAUGCUUAGAUAUCACGAAGAACCCCGAUUGCGAAGGCAGCUUACUAAACUGUGACUGACAUUGAUGCUCGAAAGUGUGGGGAUCAAACAGGAUUAGAUACCCUGGUAGUC